Malania oleifera is the source of this 89-nucleotide small nucleolar RNA. RefSeq annotates it as small nucleolar RNA snoR26. The transcript has a single exon. The record is from RefSeq and is a predicted model, not a curated record. Lineage: Eukaryota; Viridiplantae; Streptophyta; Magnoliopsida; Santalales; Ximeniaceae.
UGAGCAUCAGUGAUGUGUUGCUUCCAUUGUUAUCCUUGCACUUUGAUUGCUAGUGAAGAAAAUUAUGGGCACGAUUGUCUGAGAUGCUC